Molecule: ribosomal RNA, 465 nt
Filed under: uncultured bacterium
Lineage: Bacteria
Description: bacterial SSU rRNA
Rfam family: Bacterial small subunit ribosomal RNA
Source: RNAcentral
CCUACGGGUCGCAGCAGUGGGGAAUAUUGCACAAUGGGCGCAAGCCUGAUGCAGCCAUGCCGCGUGUGUGAAGAAGGCCUUCGGGUUGUAAAGCACUUUCAGCGAGGAGGAAGGUGGUGAGCUUAAUACGCUCAUCGAUUGACGUUACUCGCAGAAGAAGCACCGGCUAACUCCGUGCCAGCAGCCGCGGUAAUACGGAGGGUGCAAGCGUUAAUCGGAAUUACUGGGCGUAAAGCGCACGCAGGCGAUUUGUUAAGUCAGAUGUGAAAUCCCCGGGCUCAACCUGGGAACUGCAUUUGAAACUGGCAAGCUAGAGUCUCGUAGAGGGGGGUAGAAUUCCAGGUGUAGCGGUGAAAUGCGUAGAGAUCUGGAGGAAUACCGGUGGCGAAGGCGGCCCCCUGGACGAAGACUGACGCUCAGGUGCGAAAGCGUGGGGAGCAAACAGGAUUAGAUACCCUUGUAGUC